Long non-coding RNA from Aegilops tauschii subsp. strangulata, 1573 nucleotides. RefSeq lists it as uncharacterized. The record is from RefSeq and is a predicted model, not a curated record. NCBI's taxonomy places the organism in Eukaryota, Viridiplantae, Streptophyta, Magnoliopsida, Poales, Poaceae.
CCGCACAAUCCUCCUCUCCACCUCUCGCACAAUCGCUAACGUGCAGGCCAUCGCCACCUCCUCCAUCUACUGCUCACCCAGACAUCUCCCUGGCUCUCAAAUCUCUCCUCUUACACCCAUCAACGAUGUCAUGGUAGUUCAAAUUUGAAUCAAGUUCGGAGAUAUUUUCUUUGAUGGGCUUCGUGCACUGGACGGCGGACCCCGUAGGACAAGGUAGGAUGGUUGUUUUCGUUCAUCACUAAGACCUAGGAGGAAGAAGGGGAAACAAAGAGGAUCAGGUUGUGGGCUGUAGGACUGGUGGUUGGCUCGGGUGCAGCCAUCAAGAAGAUGGACAGGAAAGGCUGGAGAGACAAAGGGGCUGGGGGCAGGUACAGAUUUAUUUUUCUGAAUUUAUGAAUGUCUUAUAGUGCACUCUGAAUUUCUAUCAAUUACAGGUCUUCAAUUCUUAGUACUCUUCUGCUGCUAUGAUUUGUGAAACACAUAUUUGACUUAAAAUUUGUCCAUCGUCUGCCACUAUUCGUGCUAUGGAUGCUUAUACCUCCGUAGAAAAUCUUCUUCCAUGAUCUCCUUGGUGUUUCAGUUCAUUUAUCAAUGUUCAGCGGGCAAUACAUUUUGUGAGAUCUGCAGCUUACUCAAGGAUGACGACUCCACCAUUAUUCUAACCUUCUUGGAGUGCUCUUUGCAUACAUGGAGUGUUCGGAAGGUCGAGAAGACUGCACCUUAGUAUAGUAUUUAUUCAAAGCCACAAGGAAGAUCGGAAAUAAUGCCCAAGUUAAGCUCUUGGUAGUUCUUUCUCAUACUUAUUCCACUUGGUUAUCUUAGUGCCAUCCCUUUGCUAAAUUGAUGUACUAAGUAAUAAAGAACAUAUGCGAGUUGAUUUUUGUACAUUUUACGUAUUCUGUACAGUGUUGGAACUCGCUUAGUAAGAGCUGCUAUGUACUUAAGAUCUGAUUAGUAUCACCAACAAACUUCCAAAAAAAUUAUGUACAUACUGACUGAUCCCAUGAUCCUAAACUGUAUGUUGUUGUAGUUGAUAUCUAUGCUAUACAUACAUGUGCAGACUUUUUUUUGACAUCUAUGCUAUACAUACAUGUACAGACUUUACUAGACACACAUGACGAGCAGAUAAAGUUUAGUAUCUAUUUCUUUAUUUAAGCAGAAUAUAUGGCCAUGCUUGCAUCUAUUAUCAUUUCCAUAUAAUUGAAAGAAUCAUGUUAUAUGAUCUAAUACCUUAUAGAUUAAUGUAAGGGAGGAGCAUAUGUCCUGAUUAAUUCUGAUAAUAUUCCAUCACCAAUGUCUUUCUUUUGCAGUGAUAAUUAUGAAGAGAUCCUUGGUAUAUACACUUUGUAUGCUCUCAAGUUUAUGGUGCAUUUAGUAACAAUUUAUUUUUUUGAAAUCAUUAAAAGCACAGUUGGGGAGUCAUGAAUUUGUCAUUCUGGAAAUCUUUUAAGUAGCAUACUUGGCUCAAUUUGCGGAAAACAGUUGAUUAUUUAUGGCAUCCCUAUUCUUUUCUAUUUUUAGAGGAGGUCAAUUCAGUAAUGGAUGGACUAAUAUGAUAUCGUAAACAAUGUAA